Lasiosphaeris hirsuta is the source of this 96-nucleotide non-coding RNA. Lineage: Eukaryota; Fungi; Ascomycota; Sordariomycetes; Sordariales; Lasiosphaeriaceae. The record is from the annotation of a GenBank genome assembly.
GCCCGUGUGGUCUAGUGGUUAUGACGGUCGCCUCACAACAAUACUUGUACAGAGUAUUAUCGCGACAGGUCCCAGGUUCGACCCCUGGCGUGGGCA